Long non-coding RNA from Ornithodoros turicata, 573 nucleotides. RefSeq lists it as uncharacterized. Lineage: Eukaryota; Metazoa; Arthropoda; Arachnida; Ixodida; Argasidae. The transcript has 3 exons. The record is from RefSeq and is a predicted model, not a curated record.
GUCACUGAUUGGGACUCCUGACAACAUCCACUGUACUGCUUCCGUUCGAAGAAUGUAAACCUUUAAAGUGAGGAGGAAAAAGAAAAGAACAGCAGGCUACCUCCUGUUAAGCGGGAGCUACAUGUUUCAUAGUCGCUGUCGUCACAUAGUCACUGCGAGUGUCGGCUAAUAACGCUAUCCUGUACACUGUACUUGAAAGAUUGAAAGCCCCGCAGGUCGCAAGGCAUACUGGGACAUCUUUCGAAGUCGGUUACUGAUUUAUUCGUAAUGCGGAGACUACUGACAGUAUUGGUACUGCUUGCUAUCCUUCAAAAUGUCCUACUGGCGGAGCCCGGAACCGAACAAGACCCCGCUCCAAAAACGGCAAGGACCAAUAACCAAGGGGCAAUUAAGAAGAUACAAGAAAUCAUCAGAAGGGCCAGGGAACACAAUGAAUUUGACGACGAAAUAGAAGGAGAUGACUUGUACGCCGCGUGGAAGAAUAUGCAACCGGUAUAACCGUGGUGUUCUUGCACAGUGGAAUAUCCUGAAACCACAUGUAUUCGAAACCGAAUAAACUCCGAAAAACCGACA